Molecule: ribosomal RNA, 472 nt
Filed under: uncultured bacterium
Lineage: Bacteria
Description: bacterial SSU rRNA
Rfam family: Bacterial small subunit ribosomal RNA
Source: RNAcentral
UCGAGAAUCUUCCGCAAUGGGCGAAAGCCUGACGGAGCGACACCGCGUGCAGGACGAAGGCCCUCGGGUUGUAAAGCACUUUCGGACGGAACGAAAUCGCGCGGGCGAAUACCCCGCGUGGAUGACGGUACCGUAAGAAGAAGCACCGGCUAACUACGUGCCAGCAGCCGCGGUAAUACGGAGGGUGCAAGCGUUGUUCGGAAUUACUGGGCGUAAAGCGCGUGUAGGUGGUCGAGUAAGUCGAAUGUGAAAGCCCCGGGCUCAACCCGGGAAGUGCAUCCGAAACUGCUCGACUAGAGUCCCGGAGAGGAAGGCAGAAUUCCCAAUGUAGGGGUGAAAUCCGUAGAUAUUGGGAGGAAUACCGGUGGCGAAGGCGGCCUUCUGGACGGUGACUGACACUCAGACGCGAAAGCGUGGGGAGCAAACAGGAUUAGAUACCCACGUAGUCCCUGAGCGGGCUGGCAAGGCGCAU